GAGUCAACGUUCUCAAACUUCGUUGCUAAGUGGGGAAUCCCCGCAGAACGGCUCGCGUUGAUGACAUCACAACCACGAAGGGUAUCCCGGAAUCUUCCUGCAACUUGAGCCCUGGGGGCGUGGCCUCGGCCGACUGGACUCGGACUACGUUAUAGGGACUGUGCCUGCAAAGAGAGAACGGGGGGAAGAACCGACGCAAGAACGCACCGAGGGCCGGGCGAUCGGUAGACGCGGAAGUGGCUAUGAGGACCGAAGAUCACUGAUACUACGCCCGCUAAGUAUUUUUGAAAGGAACGUUGAUUGUUCCCUUACCUGUGCUUUGAGUUGAACUGUCUUAGUGCUGUCUCGCGGUGUCCUGAUUCCUGGUGUUGCUACCCUUGCAGCGGUGCUGAGGCGACAACGGAGUAUUCCCCCCGACGAGGGGAUCAGCUGAUCGGAUUAGACGUCGGGUGGCUCGGAGUCAACGUUCUCAAACUUCGUUGCUAAGUGGGGAAUCCCCGCAGAACGGCUCGCGUUGAUGACAUCACAACCACGAAGGGUAUCCCGGAAUCUUCCUGCAACUUGAGCCCUGGGGGCGUGGCCUCGGCCGACUGGACUCGGACUACGUUAUAGGGACUGUGUGAGUGGUUCAACCUAUGGAACUUGUGUUUUCCAGAAAUACUUUUGUACUGGUCGGAGGGAGGCCUGCCCGACCAGUACUGUCUUUUCCCUCCACUUAAAGACUGUUGGAAGGGGAGUGGCACCACCAGGGGUGGACAGCAUAUUACAUCCCCUGCCAUUGUCUGCUGCUCUCGCCUUACUGUGUGGCGGGUGACUUUUUCUGAGUGCAUUUUGUGCCCUGGUGUGUUUGCCCAUUGUGAGACAUUUUGUAGUGAGAUUUUGGUGUGUUAUCUUGCGAUGUGUGUGCUGCUAUGGUAACAGGUUUCUUGGUGUGUGGGUAUACAUAUGAAGCUGGUUAAACUCGUGAGCUGUCAGUCAGUGUGCUAGCGUGCUGUGUGUGCUCCUGCCCUUUAGUGGUGGUCUAGAUCUCACUUCCCCCUAUGCCGAACAGUGUUUUAUGCUGCUUGUACUAAUAAAUAUUGUUGUUAUACUACUA
Long non-coding RNA from Alosa sapidissima (American shad), 1096 nucleotides. RefSeq lists it as uncharacterized. The record is from RefSeq and is a predicted model, not a curated record. NCBI's taxonomy places the organism in Eukaryota, Metazoa, Chordata, Actinopteri, Clupeiformes, Clupeidae. The transcript is spliced from 2 exons.